UAUUAGCUUGUUGGUGGGGUAACGGCCUACCAAGGCGACGAUGGGUACCGGGCGUGAGAGCAUGGCCCGGCUCACUGGGACUGAGACACUGCCCAGACACCUACGGGUGGCUGCAGUCGAGAAUCUUCGGCAAUGGGCGAAAGCCUGACCGAGCGACGCCGUGUGUGGGAUGAAGGCCUUCGGGUUGUAAACCGCUGUCAGAGGGGAUGAAAUGCUGGUAGGUUAUCCUUCCAGUUUGACAAAUCCUCAGAGGGAGUACGGGCUAAGUUCGUGCCAGCAGCCGCGGUAAUACGAACCGUACGAACGU
RNAcentral lists this ribosomal RNA (307 nucleotides) under uncultured Planctomycetota bacterium. RNAcentral's name for it is "bacterial SSU rRNA". It matches the Rfam family "Bacterial small subunit ribosomal RNA", at positions 239 to 541 of the family's 1533-position model. The record is from RNAcentral. Lineage: Bacteria; Pseudomonadati; Planctomycetota.